GCAAGUCGAACGGGAAACUUUUUUAGCUUGCUUUAAAAGUUUCUAGUGGCGAACGGGUGAGUAACACGUGAGUUACCUGCCCCAAAGCGGGGGAUAGCCUUCCGAAAGGAAGAUUAAUACCCCAUGUGAUCGCAAGAUUAAAGGCGGCUUUGGCUGUCGCUUUGGGAUGGGCUCGCGGCCUAUCAGCUAGUUGGUGAGGUAAAAGCUCACAAAGGCGAUGACGGGUAGCUGGUCUGAGAGGACGACC
This 247-nucleotide ribosomal RNA is filed under the name uncultured bacterium. RNAcentral describes it as "partial 16S ribosomal RNA". It matches the Rfam family "Bacterial small subunit ribosomal RNA", at positions 57 to 305 of the family's 1533-position model. The record is from RNAcentral.